AAAAAAGGUAAGCUACUAAGAGCGAAUGGUGGAUGCCUUGACUGGUAAAGGCGAUGAAGGACGUACUAGACUGCGAUAAGCUACGGGGAGCUGUCAAGAAGCUUUGAUCCGUAGAUUUCCGAAUGGGGCAACCCAAUGUAUAGAGAUAUACAUUACCUAUAUAGGAGCGAACGAGGGGAAUUGAAACAUCUUAGUACCCUCAGGAAAAGAAAUCAAUAGAGAUUGCGUCAGUAGCGGCGAGCGAAAGCGCAAGAGGGCAAACCCAGUGCUUGCACUGGGGGUUGUAGGACUGCAAUGUGCAAGAGCUGAGUUUAGCAGAACAUUCUGGAAAGUAUAGCCAUAGAGGGUGAUAGUCCCGUAUGCGAAAAACAAAGCUUAGCUAGCAGUAUCCUGAGUAGGGCGGGACACGAGGAAUCCUGUCUGAAUCCGGGUCGACCACGAUCCAACCCUAAAUACUAAUACCAGAUCGAUAGUGCACAAGUACCGUGAGGGAAAGGUGAAAAGAACUGAGGUGAUCAGAGUGAAAUAGAACCUGAAACCAUUUGCUUACAAUCAUUCAGAGCACUAUGUAGCAAUACAGUGUGAUGGACUGCCUUUUGCAUAAUGAGCCUGCGAGUUGUGGUGUCUGGCAAGGUUAAGCAAACGCGAAGCCGUAGCGAAAGCGAGUCUGAAUAGGGCGCUUAGUCAGAUGCUGCAGACCCGAAACGAAGUGAUCUAUCCAUGAGCAAGUUGAAGCUAGUGUAAGAACUAGUGGAGGACUGAACCCAUAGGCGUUGAAAAGCCCCGGGAUGACUUGUGGAUAGGGGUGAAAGGCCAAUCAAACUUCGUGAUAGCUGGUUCUCUCCGAAAUAUAUUUAGGUAUAGCGUUGUGUCGUAAUAUAAGGGGGUAGAGCACUGAAUGGGCUAGGGCAUACACCAAUGUACCAAACCCUAUCAAACUCCGAAUACCUUAUAUGUAAUCACAGCAGUCAGGCGGCGAGUGAUAAAAUCCGUCGUCAAGAGGGAAACAACCCAGACUACCAGCUAAGGUCCCUAAGUCU
This 1040-nucleotide ribosomal RNA is filed under the name Campylobacter jejuni. RNAcentral's name for it is "partial 23S ribosomal RNA". It matches the Rfam family "Bacterial large subunit ribosomal RNA", at positions 1 to 1055 of the family's 2925-position model. The record is from RNAcentral. Lineage: Bacteria; Pseudomonadati; Campylobacterota; Epsilonproteobacteria; Campylobacterales; Campylobacteraceae.